Molecule: ribosomal RNA, 460 nt
Filed under: uncultured bacterium
Lineage: Bacteria
Description: partial 16S ribosomal RNA
Rfam family: Bacterial small subunit ribosomal RNA
Source: RNAcentral
CCUACGGGAGGCAGCAGUGAGGAAUAUUGGUCAAUGGACGAGAGUCUGAACCAGCCAAGUAGCGUGAAGGAUGACUGCCCUAUGGGUUGUAAACUUCUUUUAUAUGGGAAUAAAGUGUUCCACGUGUGGGAUUUUGUAUGUACCAUAUGAAUAAGGAUCGGCUAACUCCGUGCCAGCAGCCGCGGUAAUACGGAGGAUCCGAGCGUUAUCCGGAUUUAUUGGGUUUAAAGGGAGCGUAGGUGGAUUGUUAAGUCAGUUGUGAAAGUUUGCGGCUCAACCGUAAAAUUGCAGUUGAAACUGGCAGUCUUGAGUACAGUAGAGGUGGGCGGAAUUCGUGGUGUAGCGGUGAAAUGCUUAGAUAUCACGAAGAACUCCGAUUGCGAAGGCAGUUCACUGGACUGCAACUGACACUGAGGCUCGAAAGUGUGGGUAUCAAACAGGAUUAGAUACCCGUGUAGUC